This 72-nucleotide transfer RNA is filed under the name Camelus bactrianus (Bactrian camel). It matches the Rfam family "tRNA". From Rfam's summary of the family: Transfer RNA (tRNA) molecules are approximately 80 nucleotides in length. Their secondary structure includes four short double-helical elements and three loops (D, anti-codon, and T loops). Lineage: Eukaryota; Metazoa; Chordata; Mammalia; Artiodactyla; Camelidae. The record is from Rfam by way of RNAcentral. RNAcentral also lists the same sequence under 2 other names.
GAGGGUACAGCUCAGUGGUAGAGCGUGUGCUUAGCAUGCACAAGGUCCUGGGUUCAAUCCCUAGUACCUCCA